GUUGUUGCAGUUAAAAAGCUCGUAGUUGGAUUUCUAGCCGACGUUAUUGGUCCCCACCGCUCAGCGUAAGGCGUACCGCACGCGUCGUCUAUCCUAUCACUUUGUCUGGUUUCGGCCGGGCUGACUGGUUCUUUCACUUUGAAAAAAUUAGAGUGUUUAUAGCAGGCUUGCGCAAUGAAUACAUUAUCAUGGAAUAAUAAUAUAAGACUUCGGUCUCUACUUUAUUGGUUCUGGAAUAGAAGUAAUGAUUGAUAGGGAUAAUUGGGGGUGCUAUUAUUGAGUGGCCAUAGGUGAAAUUCUUAUAUUCACUCAAGACUAACUUAUGCUAAAGCAUUCACCAAGGAUGUCUUCUUUAAUCAAGAACGAAAGUUGGGGGAUCGAAGACGAUCAGAUACCGUCGUAGUCUCAACCAUAAACUAUACCGACUAAUGAUGAGUGACCGCUUAUUUGGCUUC
This 455-nucleotide ribosomal RNA is filed under the name uncultured eukaryote. Its description in RNAcentral is "bacterial SSU rRNA". It matches the Rfam family "Eukaryotic small subunit ribosomal RNA", at positions 609 to 1078 of the family's 1831-position model. The record is from RNAcentral.